GGUCGUGCUGGGCGGGGCAGGCGUGGUGGCGCUGACUGCCUGUGGAGGCCUCGGCGGGGGUGAGGCGAGACUCAGCGAGGGGCUGGAGCGGCUGCCGCUGGAGCAUGAGAGAACGCGGCUGGUGGCCGUCGACUACGAGGAGAUGGCCCAGUUGCGGGACAUGGAGCGGCCCGGCCC
RNAcentral lists this unclassified non-coding RNA (177 nucleotides) under uncultured fungus. RNAcentral describes it as "sequence contains ITS1". The record is from RNAcentral. Lineage: Eukaryota; Fungi.